UCNUGGGAUAAUACUGACGUUCAUGCCCGAAAGCGUGGGUAGCAAACAGGAUUAGAUACCCUGGUAGUCCACGCCCUAAACGAUGUCGAUUAGCUGUUGGGCAACUUGAUUGCUUAGUAGCGAAGCUAACGCGUGAAAUCGACCGCCUGGGGAGUACGGUCGCAAGAUUAAAACUUAAAGGAAUUGACGGGGACCCGCACAAGCGGUGGAUGAUGUGGAUUAAUUCGAUGCAACGCGAAGAACCUUACCUGGUCUUGACAUGUACGGAACCUUCCAGAGACGGAAGGGUGCCUUCGGGAGCCGUAACACAGGUGCCGCAUGGCUGUCGUCAGCUCGUGUCGUGAGAUGUUGGGUUAAGUCCCGCAACGAGCGCAACCCUUGUCAUUAGUUGCCAUCAUUAAGUUGGGCACUCUAAUGAGACUGCCGGUGACAAACCGGAGGAAGGUGGGGAUGACGUCAAGUCCUCAUGGCCCUUAUGACCAGGGCUUCACACGUCAUACAAUGGUCGGUACAGAGGGUAGCCAAGCCGCGAGGCGGAGCCAAUCCCAGAAAACCGAUNGUAGUCCGGAUUGCACUCUGCAACUNGAGUGCAUGAAGUCGGAAUCGCUAGUAAUCGCAGGUCAGCAUANUGCGGUGAAUACGUUCCCGGGUCUUGUACACACCGCCCGUCACACCAUGGGAGUGGGGGAUACCAGAAGCAGGUAGGAUAACCGCAAGGANUCCGCUU
This 727-nucleotide ribosomal RNA is filed under the name uncultured bacterium. Its description in RNAcentral is "bacterial SSU rRNA". It matches the Rfam family "Bacterial small subunit ribosomal RNA", at positions 727 to 1455 of the family's 1533-position model. The record is from RNAcentral.